Molecule: ribosomal RNA, 492 nt
Filed under: uncultured bacterium
Lineage: Bacteria
Description: partial 16S ribosomal RNA
Rfam family: Bacterial small subunit ribosomal RNA
Source: RNAcentral
AGUGAACGCUGGCGGUAGGCCUAACACAUGCAAGUCGAACGGCAGCACAGUAAGAGCUUGCUCUUACGGGUGGCGAGUGGCGGACGGGUGAGGAAUACAUCGGAAUCUACUUUUUCGUGGGGGAUAACGUAGGGAAACUUACGCUAAUACCGCAUACGACCUACGGGUGAAAGCAGGGGAUCUUCGGACCUUGCGCGAUUGAAUGAGCCGAUGUCGGAUUAGCUAGUUGGCGGGGUAACGGCCCACCAAGGCGACGAUCCGUAGCUGGUCUGAGAGGAUGAUCAGCCACACUGGAACUGAGACACGGUCCAGACUCCUACGGGAGGCAGCAGUGGGGAAUAUUGGACAAUGGGCGCAAGCCUGAUCCAGCCAUACCGCGUGAGUGAAGAAGGCCUUCGGGUUGUAAAGCCCUUUUGUUGGGAAAGAAAAGCAGCAGGUUAAUACCCCGCUGUUCUGACGGUACCCAAAGAAUAAGCACCGGCUAACUUCGUG